GCCGGCGACGCCCAAAAGGCAAAGGUAUUGCUUUAACUCAACUAAAGGUGGAAGUUGAUCGAGUAUUGUCUCCAGCAACAGCCCUUGGCACUGAAAAAGUUCUCAAAUUGAUUUACGUAAAAACGGUGGCAGAAGAAAAAAAUGCUACUUUUUUAAUAUGUGUUCAUGUUAAAUACAGAUGCUUUCGACGUUCUUCGUUUAACUCAUACGAUGUCAUCAAAGAAUUAUUAAAGAGCAAUUCUCGCAUGCAAAACCAGCUUUGCGCUUCUUGUUUGGACACUUUGUUUAAGUCAUCACCUUGCACCAAUAACCACUUUUCAUCUGUGAACACAUAAUACUAUAAUUCCUGGCAAUGGAAGUGAGUAAUGUCCUUUAUUUGUACGUCGCUGCCAAGGACGAAAUUGCAGUAAGUCUGCUAUUAGCCAAGGUACAUCGUGCGUUACCACCAUGCGACGUGAGGCACUCAACGGUAUUGAAUCCGCAUGCUCUGCCAGGUAGCUAAGUAUAGAAAUGCAACGCAUGCCAAUCUUAUAAAUUAAAUCGCGUUUUUGACGCUCUAACUCGGAUAAAACAGCUUCAUCUACAUCAACUUUUGAUUGAUUUUCAUGAUAACCCAUGCUAUUACAUAUAAGAUAAAAAUGUAUA
This is a long non-coding RNA of Rhagoletis zephyria (snowberry fruit fly), 645 nucleotides long. RefSeq lists it as uncharacterized. NCBI's taxonomy places the organism in Eukaryota, Metazoa, Arthropoda, Insecta, Diptera, Tephritidae. The record is from RefSeq and is a predicted model, not a curated record.